UACGAACUGUGCGAACGUUAUUCGGAAUCACUGGGCUUAAAGGGCGCGUAGGCGGGCCGCAAAGUCAGGGGUGAAAGCCUCCAGCUCAACUGGAGAAGUGCCUCUGAUACUGGCGGCCUCGAGGGAGAUAGGGGCGUGCGGAACUUCCGGUGGAGCGGUGAAAUGCGUAGAUAUCGGAAGGAACACCGGUGGCGAAAGCGGCGCGCUGGAUCUCUUCUGACGCUGAGGCGCGAAAGCCAGGGGAGCGAACGGG
Molecule: ribosomal RNA, 253 nt
Filed under: uncultured bacterium
Lineage: Bacteria
Description: partial 16S ribosomal RNA
Rfam family: Bacterial small subunit ribosomal RNA
Source: RNAcentral